This is a long non-coding RNA of Microtus ochrogaster (prairie vole), 2898 nucleotides long. RefSeq lists it as uncharacterized. The record is from RefSeq and is a predicted model, not a curated record. NCBI's taxonomy places the organism in Eukaryota, Metazoa, Chordata, Mammalia, Rodentia, Cricetidae.
GACCUCCAAGGAGACCAGCACGUGCGUGGCAUCUCCGAGGUGUAGGGUACUUUUAGUAGCAGAAUCUGACUGCAGACAACAGGACAAUACCCAGUGGCUGGGGACAGAACUUUACGUUAGCUAAAGUCUCAGGUGCUUCCAUUUUGUUUCAGAGACCUAGAGAGGAGUGGAAGAACCAGGGCAAGCGAAAAGAAGUCAGGACUUGGAGGAAGCCGACCACGGCAAACUUAAUGCGACCACAGAGGAGACCAGAGGACCGAAGACGAGCAGCCAGAAGGUCAUCUGCUAGAAGGAGAUCAGUACGUGCAUGCAUAGCUGUUAUGUCCUUGGUUCCCAGAGGAGGAUGGGAAGUACUGAGAGCUGUCAGAAAUGGCUUCAGAAUUGUCUUCAAGUUCUACACAUCCACGUCUACAAGAACAAGAAAGUUCCUGGGGAAAUUGGUGAUGGGCCUGGCUGGCCUUAAGGAUGCUCUUGAGUGAGUAAACGCCCAUCUACUUUUAUGGCCCAAGGAAGAUAUCGAGAAUGCCUUCUAGGAAGAAAAUAGGUACUUUCUGAUAAGCUUCUUAUUUUUAAAAAAAUUAAUUCUCUGAUUUUUUUUUCUUUUGUUGUUUGAGACAGGAGUACCUCAUCUCCUGUCUCUACCUUGUCCUGGGGUUACAGGGAUGUGCCACCAUUCUUGCUUUGCUAUGCUGGGGAUGGUGUCCAGGGUCUCCCUCCUUACUGAACAACAUAUUUCCCUCCCCUACCCCUGUGGACUCCCCCUCCACGCAUUAUUUUCCCUGCACAUCUCUGCGUCCCUCCUUUAGCUCCUGCCUGUAAAUCCCCAGCUGCCUCUGCUGAAUUCAGGAUUGAGCCUGAUUUAUUUCUUCCCCCAUUGAAAAAUUCCUGUAGCAAUAAUCUUGGUUGUUUUAACGAUGAUCAAAGUAAUUUUGUCAUUAAUAUUAGUAAGUCAAGUCAGGAUGCUUACAGAUGGCCUAUUUCUGCCACUGAUUUUUUUGAAUUUCUUUAUUUCCUUUAGGUGAGGCUUACGAAGAUUUGCUCAUAAAGCAACAAGCUGAUAAUCUGGGUUGCCAAAGACAAAGCAAAGAAUGGUAGUAUAUAAUCCCAAGUUAUCAAGACUAUUGCUGAGAAUGUAGUGAGGUAGUUCUCGAUUUGGUUUCAAACAGAAAUUAAGAAUUUACUGCUGUGAUCUUAUCCAAACAAAUCAAAUGUAAAGCAACCUCCAUGUUUCUUGAUGCCUUUGCCUCUGAUUAUUAUUAUUAUUAUUUUUUUUUUUUGAGAUGGACUAGGCAGGGGAGGAGUACGCAUAUGUACAAAUUACCCAGAGUGCUUCUGCAAACUUGCUAGUUUCUUUAAGAAAGAAAAGGUGCCUAGUCUGGUGGCACAGCUAAUGGCAGCGUGAUUUAAUUCCAGCCCUUGAGUGGCUGGAUCUGGCAGAUUUUGGCGAGUUCUAGGCUGCCAGUCUACGCAGUGAGUCGCAGUGGCCAAUUUACUGGGCAGGUACUGCGGUGGAAAUUUACCUUGAGAAAAGGCAAAAGUCCGAACUCAGUGGUUUUAGUCCUUAAUUUGGCCUAGAAGGAAAACAAAAGUAAAACGGCCGCUUUAGGUGCUCCACUGAUUUUGAACAGGACGGAGGACGGUCUAAUUUCUUGGCCCUUUUUUUGGUCUCAGAGUGGCGGUUUUGUUUUUUCAGACUACAAAGGGCGGGAGAGGAGACAGUUAAGAUGGCGGUGCUGGCGCUCUCUGGAGCACUACUGCCAUCGUGCGGUCAGAGUUUCAGAGACUCAAUGAACAGUUUCGUGACUGUAUUCAAUGCCAAGGGCGCUCUAGGCAUACUUCUUUAGGCCUGGGCAUAUUCUGUGUUAGCCAUAGUUCGCUAGGCACAGGCGUAUUUCUAAGGCCCUAAGUAUGAUCCGAACCCAAGAACUAUUUGUGUAGAACCUGGAAUGCGAGAGGCCUGUGUACCAGGGACUUGGAAGCUUCCAGGACUUACAGACACAGGAAGUCCUGGGGGGGACUUAUGUUUUGAAUACAAACAAACACUUGGCAUUUGUUAAUUGUGUCUGACAGAUUUACAGGCUUCAGAGUUGUCUUUUCUCUGCCUUCAUCCACCAAGUUUAGACUUUCAAGCACAAGUUAACUUCAAGGGAAGUAAAACAUGUCUGAAUGGAUAAGGUUCAGUGGAGAAUUAUCAGUUACAAAAUACUAACCAACCAUGUUCCUAGGCCUUUGUCUCUAGAUUCUGAUUCUGACUAUUAUUAGAAUCACUUGGGCUUGGAGGGCGGGAGUAAAGCAGUCAAGGGUGGCCCUUGUGACUGUCUGUGGAGCACUAUUGCCAUUGUGCAGGAAUAAUUACAGUACAUAUGGCACCAUUACAGCUUCAUUCCCGUGAGUCUAGCAGUGGGGAAAGAAUUCCUGGAAGGAUACACCUGGCUUAAGUGCCUUUCCCCUGAGGCAAGAGGAGAAACUUGGACAGCAGUACAAUCGUAGUAUUAAAAAUGAAGUAAGUGUAAGGAGCCAACAGAGGACCUGCAGGUGCUUAGACUAGCAGACAGGAAGUUGCGGGUUGGCAUUUUGGUCCUUUUAUCUGGGGCAUGAACUUUCAACUCUUGGUGGGGACUCCUGUCUCCUACUCCUUGUAGUAUGACUCAGCAGGAUUUUAAGUAGUGUCCUCUUACUAACAGGCUACAUCUCACAUACGUGACCAAGAGAUACAUUCCAUGUUUGUGGGGUAGGAAGCUAACUAUAGUUAAGUUGGCCAUAUUACCAGAAGAGAUUUUCAGUGUUGUGGCAGACCUCAUUGUCCUAAUGACCGUUCUGCAGAAGCGGAAUGCCUGACCCUAGGCCUUUAAUCCCAGCACUCGGGAGGCAGAGGCAGGCGGAUCUCUGUGAGUUCGA